GACGAACGCUGGCGGCGUGCCUAAUACAUGCAAGUUGAGCGCUGAAGGUUGGUACUUGUACCCACUGGAUGAGCAGCGAACGGGUGAGUAACGCGUGGGGAAUCUGCCUUUGAGCGGGGGACAACAUUUGGAAACGAAUGCUAAUACCGCAUAAAAACUUUAAACACAAGUUUUAAGUUUGAAAGAUGCAAUUGCAUCACUCAAAGAUGAUCCCGCGUUGUAUUAGCUAGUUGGUGAGGUAAAGGCUCACCAAGGCGAUGAUACAUGGCCGACCUGAGAGGGUGAUCGGCCACAUUGGGACUGAGACACGGCCCAAACUCCUACGGGAGGCAGCAGUAGGGAAUCUUCGGCAAUGGACGAAAGUCUGACCGAGCAACGCCGCGUGAGUGAAGAAGGGUUUCGGAUCGUAAAACUCUGUUGGUAGAGAAGAACGUUGGUGAGAGUGGAAAGCUCAUCAAGUGACGGUAACUACCCAGAAAGGGACGGCUAACUACGUG
Molecule: ribosomal RNA, 497 nt
Filed under: uncultured bacterium
Lineage: Bacteria
Description: partial 16S ribosomal RNA
Rfam family: Bacterial small subunit ribosomal RNA
Source: RNAcentral